Molecule: non-coding RNA, 27 nt
Filed under: Rattus norvegicus (Norway rat)
Lineage: Eukaryota; Metazoa; Chordata; Mammalia; Rodentia; Muridae
Source: RNAcentral
UAGAAUCACAAUCUUAUUAAUUGCCUU